Molecule: ribosomal RNA, 521 nt
Filed under: uncultured bacterium
Lineage: Bacteria
Description: bacterial SSU rRNA
Rfam family: Bacterial small subunit ribosomal RNA
Source: RNAcentral
CUGGCGGCGUGCUUACACAUGCAAGUCGAGCGAGAAAGGGAACUUCGGUUCCUGAGUACAGCGGCGAACGGGUGAGUAAUACGUGGGUGAUCUACCCCUAGGGUGGGAAUAACCCGGGGAAACCCGGGCUAAUACCGAAUAAGACCAUAGGAGGCAACUCCAGGGGUCAAAGGGAGCUUCGGCCCCCCCCCAAGGGAUGAGCCCGCGGCCUAUCAGCUUGUUGGUGGGGUAAAGGCCCACCAAGGCAAAGACGGGUAGCUGGUCUGAGAGGAUGACCAGUCACACGGGGACUGAGACACGGCCCCGACUCCUACGGGAGGCAGCAGUGGGGAAUAUUGGACAAUGGGGGAAACCCUGAUCCAGCGACGCCGCGUGGGUGAUGAAGGCUUUCGGGUCGUAAAGCCCUGUCAGGAGGAAAGAACGCUCCUAUAGCGAAUAGCUAUAGGAAGUGACGGUACCUCCAAAGGAAGCACCGGCCAACUCCGUGCCAGCAGCCGCGGUAAGACGGAGGGUGCGAGCGU